CCUACGGGACGCACCAGUGGGGAAUAUUGCACAAUGGGCGAAAGCCUGAUGCAGCAACGUCGCGUGAGGGAUGACGGCCUUCGGGUUGUAAACCUCUUUUAGUAGAGAAGAAGCGAAAGUGACGGUACCUGCAGAAAAAGCACCGGCUAACUACGUGCCAGCAGCCGCGGUAAUACGUAGGGUGCAAGCGUUGUCCGGAAUUAUUGGGCGUAAAGAGCUCGUAGGCGGUUUGUCGCGUCUGCUGUGAAAUCCCGAGGCUCAACCUCGGGCUUGCGGUGGGUACGGGCAGACUAGAGUGCGGUAGGGGGGAUUGGAAUUCCUGGUGUAGCGGUGGAAUGCGCAGAUAUCAGGAGGAACACCGAUGGCGAAGGCAGAUCUCUGGGCCGUAACUGACGCUGAGGAGCGAAAGCGUGGGGAGCGAACAGGAUUAGAUACCCGAGUAGUC
RNAcentral lists this ribosomal RNA (445 nucleotides) under uncultured bacterium. Its description in RNAcentral is "bacterial SSU rRNA". It matches the Rfam family "Bacterial small subunit ribosomal RNA", at positions 338 to 795 of the family's 1533-position model. The record is from RNAcentral.